RNAcentral lists this transfer RNA (72 nucleotides) under Toxocara canis (dog roundworm). It matches the Rfam family "tRNA". From Rfam's summary of the family: Transfer RNA (tRNA) molecules are approximately 80 nucleotides in length. Lineage: Eukaryota; Metazoa; Nematoda; Chromadorea; Rhabditida; Toxocaridae. The record is from Rfam by way of RNAcentral.
GGGGAUAUAGCUCAUGUGUAGAGCGCUCCCUUAGCAUGGGAGAGUUCUGGGGUUCAAUUCCCCAUAUGUCCA